RNAcentral lists this small RNA (125 nucleotides) under Marmota monax (woodchuck). Lineage: Eukaryota; Metazoa; Chordata; Mammalia; Rodentia; Sciuridae. The record is from RNAcentral.
GCUGGGCACGGGGGCUCUCACCUGUAAUCCCAGUGGCUUGGGAGGCUGAGACAGGAGGAUCGUGAGUUCAAAGCCAGCCUCAGCAAAAGCAAGGCGCUAAGCAACUCAGUGAGACCCUGUCUCUA